AACAUCGCGCACCUGCGGGAACCUGCGGAAGGAUCAUUAAUGAUUGGUGGCUGUUGCUGACUAGUGUUUCUAGUAUGUGCACGCCACACCUUCAAUCCCACUUACACCUGUGCACCUUCUGUAAUAGAUCUAUGUGGAUACGGAGAUAUGAAAGUUUGCGCUCUCGUAUUCUGUUGAAGCAGUCUACUACGUUUUUUUACACACACACAAUAGUCAUUGAAUGUAUUUUUUAUUCUUAUG
Molecule: unclassified non-coding RNA, 240 nt
Filed under: soil metagenome
Description: partial contains 5.8S ribosomal RNA, internal transcribed spacer 2, and large subunit ribosomal RNA
Source: RNAcentral